GUGCUUGCUUCGGCAGAACAUAUACUGAAAUUGGAACAAUGCAGAGAUUAACGGGGCCCCUGUGCAAGGAAGACACACAAAACAACAAGCGUUGUCAAGUGCUG
Molecule: small nuclear RNA, 104 nt
Organism: Octodon degus (degu)
Lineage: Eukaryota; Metazoa; Chordata; Mammalia; Rodentia; Octodontidae
Source: Ensembl